Molecule: long non-coding RNA, 461 nt
Organism: Apis dorsata (giant honeybee)
Lineage: Eukaryota; Metazoa; Arthropoda; Insecta; Hymenoptera; Apidae
Exons: 2
Source: RefSeq, a predicted model, not a curated record
AAAUUCGUAACAAAUUCGUUUACAUUUUGUGACAUAAACUUCGUGACCACCGUGUUCAUGCUUGAUUCAACAAUAAAUUAUGGGGGGAUGCGAUGAAUUACGAUCGAUGUAGGGGGAUAUGGGAACAUUUUACUUUAUGAAAUGAAACAACAACGAGCAAUAACAACAUUUCCAACGAUCUCUGUGCUCUGUCUAUCUACUAUUAAAUUCCAACAUGAAUUAGAAAAACGAUCCUAGAGCACAGGGGGGGGGCUAAAGGGGUUCAACCAACAACGCAAGCAAAGGGGGAUGAUUUACACAGAGAGAGAGAGAGAGAGAGAGAGAGAGAGGAGGGUGGUUGUCGAGCAUAAAUCGAACCUUGCUCCGCCACGAGAAAGAGAAAGCUAGAAAAGAAAGGAAGAAGUCGAAGGGGCGAGACGAUGCACUGGUGCAAAGGUAAUCUGAUAUUCUGAGACGAGAAA